RNAcentral lists this ribosomal RNA (124 nucleotides) under Pteropus alecto (black flying fox). Lineage: Eukaryota; Metazoa; Chordata; Mammalia; Chiroptera; Pteropodidae. The record is from RNAcentral.
GUCUGUGGCCAUGCCACCUUGAACAAACCCGAUGUCUGAUCUCGGAAGCUAAGUAGGGUAGGGCCUGGUUAGUACUUGGAUACUUGGAUGGGAGACCAUCUAGGAAGACUAGGUGCUGUAGGCA